Molecule: long non-coding RNA, 1340 nt
Filed under: Vigna radiata
Lineage: Eukaryota; Viridiplantae; Streptophyta; Magnoliopsida; Fabales; Fabaceae
Description: long non-coding RNA (VRAD_LNC011320)
Source: RNAcentral
UUAAACCUUCCCAAUUGAGUCCUUAUAAGUGCUAAUUUCAAAUAAAUUAACUUCUGCCAUUAAAAAUGGUUAACGGUGUUAUAAAAUACUGGAGAGAUGGAUAGAUGAUGUGUGAAUUUUUAAAAACUUGGCAUGCUGACGUGAGAGUAAUGUGCCUAUGAACCUCUCUUAUUCUUUUUUCCAAUUUUUCAGACAGUCACUGGAGUUCAUCACGCUUCAUCGUCUCCUCCACCACCACCAAUGCAAACCCUCACGCCAUCGCAAGAAGAAGCCAUCGAGAGUUUCGUCAGUAUUAUCACAGUAUUAUCACCAUCGUUCUUCAUCUGGUUUCUCUCAGCCGUAGCAAUUUCUAUGGCCAACCUCUCUCCUUCUCAUCUCUAAUCACCUAAAACAGCCCCUCACCAUGCCCAAUCUUCAUCAACACAGCUACCUCCAUAAUAUUACCUUCACAUACUACAACAACACACAGAACAUCCUUUUCUUCAUUUUCCUAUCUCCAUUGCCAAGCCAAGAUGGCCCAACCAAACCCCUCACCUUUUCCCCAUUGAUUUUGGUAGAGAAUCGCUCAAAUUCAUCGUUCUUCUUCUUCUACCCUCACGGCCCAGCUUUAACAGGGGUAACACGCACAAAAUCUCAACCCCAAUCACCAUUCUAUUCUCUUCCACCCCACACACAUAACACCUAAGCCAGGGACACCACCACGUCUUCAUACAACAUCACCAAACUGAACUGAAGAUACCCUUACCGCGACUGUGCAUACACCCCAUGGUGGUCGCGGUUGAAGAUGAACAACCCUCUCUCUGUCUCUCUGCUGCGCAUAUCCCUUUCAGAGUCCAUCCUUGAAGCCAUAGCCCCAGGCAUUUAGGGUUUUCCACUGGACAACCUGUCCUCACACGAAUCCAACUCAUAAACUUCAUCUUCUUCACGAGUUCGUACCAUAGCGGGCGCGACAAGCGAUGGAGCAGGGGAGUUUCCGUUCCAGCUCGCGACGGCUCCGGUGACGAACGACGUCGAUGAUAGGGUCUUCGGGCCGCCACCGGCAUCAGCCGGUUUCGCUGGCGGCGGAUGGUCCCGUCGGGAUCAGGCAGAGAGGGUAGGAGAUUGAAUCCCAAUUCCCUUUUUUUAUUUAACUCAACCCUAAUUCCCUUUUUAAUUACAAUUUAUAAAGUAAUGAUCAUUACCAAAUUUUAAUCACUGCUAAACGCCACGUAUCACUCAUAUUCCUGCCACCUUUCACCUGAAAGUUAAACAUUGAACAUGUCAUCUAUCCACCUCUGCAGUAUUUUAACACCGUUAACAAUUUUUAAUAGCAGGGGCUAAUUUGCUUGAAAUUAGCACUU